RNAcentral lists this ribosomal RNA (460 nucleotides) under fungal sp. E15118G. Its description in RNAcentral is "eukaryotic LSU rRNA". The stretch from base 112 to 265 matches the Rfam family "5.8S ribosomal RNA". The record is from RNAcentral. Lineage: Eukaryota; Fungi.
CUUACCACUGUUGCCUCGGUGGAAGGCAUCCGAAAGGGUGCUGGAAGCCGGUGGACAUCUAAACUCUUGUUAAUUUUUGUUAUUCUGAAUCAUAACUAAGAAAUAAGUUAAAACUUUCAACAACGGAUCUCUUGGUUCUGGCAUCGAUGAAGAACGCAGCGAAAUGCGAUAAGUAAUGUGAAUUGCAGAAUUCAGUGAAUCAUCGAAUCUUUGAACGCACAUUGCGCCCAUUAGUAUUCUAGUGGGCAUGCCUGUUCGAGCGUCAUUUCAACCCUUAAGCCUAGCUUAGUGUUGGGAGACUGCCUAAUACGCAGCUCCUCAAAACCAGUGGCAGAGUUUUUACGUACUCUGAGCGCAGUAAUUCUAUUCUCGCUUCUGAAAACGUCUAGACGAUAGCCAAAAACCGCUUGCUUCGGCAGCACUUUUUAAUGGUUGACCUCGGAUCAGGUAGGAAUACCCG